RNAcentral lists this ribosomal RNA (1430 nucleotides) under uncultured organism. Its description in RNAcentral is "16S ribosomal RNA". It matches the Rfam family "Bacterial small subunit ribosomal RNA". The record is from RNAcentral.
GCGGCGUGCUUAACACAUGCAAGUCGAACGGAAAGGCCCUGCUUUUGUGGGGUGCUCGAGUGGCGAACGGGUGAGUAACACGUGAGCAACCUGCCCUUGACUUUGGGAUAACUUCAGGAAACUGGGGCUAAUACCGGAUAGGAGCUCCUGCUGCAUGGUGGGGGUUGGAAAGUUUCGGCGGUUGGGGAUGGACUCGCGGCUUAUCAGCUUGUUGGUGGGGUAGUGGCUUACCAAGGCUUUGACGGGUAGCCGGCCUGAGAGGGUGACCGGCCACAUUGGGACUGAAAUACGGCCCAGACUCCUACGGGAGGCAGCAGUGGGGAAUAUUGCACAAUGGGCGGAAGCCUGAUGCAGCAACGCCGCGUGCGGGAUGACGGCCUUCGGGUUGUAAACCGCUUUCGCCUGUGACGAAGCGUGAGUGACGGUAAUGGGUAAAGAAGCACCGGCUAACUACGUGCCAGCAGCCGCGGUGAUACGUAGGGUGCGAGCGUUGUCCGGAUUUAUUGGGCGUAAAGGGCUCGUAGGUGGUUGAUCGCGUCGGAAGUGUAAUCUUGGGGCUUAACCCUGAGCGUGCUUUCGAUACGGGUUGACUUGAGGAAGGUAGGGGAGAAUGGAAUUCCUGGUGGAGCGGUGGAAUGCGCAGAUAUCAGGAGGAACACCAGUGGCGAAGGCGGUUCUCUGGGCCUUUCCUGACGCUGAGGAGCGAAAGCGUGGGGAGCGAACAGGCUUAGAUACCCUGGUAGUCCACGCUGUAAACGGUGGGUACUAGGUGUGGGGUCCAUUCCACGGGUUCCGUGCCGUAGCUAACGCUUUAAGUACCCCGCGUGGGGAGUACGGCCGCAAGGCUAAAACUCAAAGGAAUUGACGGGGCCCCGCACAAGCGGCGGAGCAUGCGGAUUAAUUCGAUGCAACGCGUAGAACCUUACCUGGGUUUGACAUGGAUCGGGAGUGCUCAGAGAUGGGUGUGCCUCUUUUGGGGUCGGUUCACAGGUGGUGCAUGGCUGUCGUCAGCUCGUGUCGUGAGAUGUUGGGUUAAGUCCCGCAACGAGCGCAACCCUUGUUCACUGUUGCCAGCACGUUAUGGUGGGGACUCAGUGGAGACCGCCGGGGUCAACUCGGAGGAAGGUGGGGAUGACGUCAAGUCAUCAUGCCCCUUAUGUCCAGGGCUUCACGCAUGCUACAAUGGCUGGUACAGAGAGUGGCGAGCCUGUGAGGGUGAGCGAAUCUCGGAAAGCCGGUCUCAGUUCGGAUUGGGGUCUGCAACUCGACCUCAUGAAGUCGGAGUCGCUAGUAAUCGCAGAUCAGCAACGCUGCGGUGAAUACGUUCCCGGGGCUUGUACACACCGCCCGUCAAGUCAUGAAAGUUGGUAACACCCGAAGCCGGUGGCCUAACCGUUGUGGGGGAGCCGUCGAAGGUGGGACUGGUGAUU